This 256-nucleotide ribosomal RNA is filed under the name uncultured bacterium. RNAcentral describes it as "partial 16S ribosomal RNA". It matches the Rfam family "Bacterial small subunit ribosomal RNA", at positions 524 to 776 of the family's 1533-position model. The record is from RNAcentral.
GACAUAGGUCGCAAACGUUAUCCGGAAUUAUUGGGCGUAAAGGGUGCGUAGAUGGCGUAAUAAGUUAUCAGUGGUAAAUCGGGGCUCAACCUCGUGGAAGCUGGUAAUACUGUUAUGCUUGAGUGCAGAAGAGGUUAACGGAACUCCAUGUGGAGCGGUAAAAUGCGUAGAUAUAUGGAAGAACACCAAUAACGGCGAAGGCAGUUAACUAUUCUGUUACUGACAUUGAGGCACGAAAGCGUGGGGAGCAAAAAGG